This 332-nucleotide long non-coding RNA is filed under the name Homo sapiens (human). RNAcentral's name for it is "long non-coding RNA NONHSAT237569". Lineage: Eukaryota; Metazoa; Chordata; Mammalia; Primates; Hominidae. The record is from RNAcentral.
AGAAAAUCUGCUCCCACCUCAGGUACUUCUUUGCCUGAAACUGGCAUUCCUAUUUAUUUUCCAUUUUGAACAAUCUGAUUUUAUUUUAAGCCUCUUAUUCUGGUGGGAUUUCAGCAAAGUGAGCACACCCAGAGUCACACUGAUGAAAUGACAGAAUCCUGGAAGCAGGUGGACAGUUCCCGCAGCACUCCACAUCUGUGUGGUCUGCCUCAGGGUUUGGGUGGCAGCAGCUGAGACGGCUGGCGGUAGCCUGGGCCACUCUUACUAUUGAGCUCAAGUUCUGUUCUUUCAGUAAUUUUUUUCAAAAUGGGUCUAAGAUUACAAUUAUGUAG